UGGGGAAUUUUGGACAAUGGGCGAAAGCCUGAUCCAGCAAUGCCGCGUGUGUGAAGAAGGCCUUCGGGUUGUAAAGCACUUUUGUCCGGAAAGAAAUCCUUGGCUCUAAUACAGUCGGGGGAUGACGGUACCGGAAGAAUAAGCACCGGCUAACUACGUGCCAGCAGCCGCGGUAAUACGUAGGGUGCAAGCGUUAAUCGGAAUUACUGGGCGUAAAGCGUGCGCAGGCGGUUUGCUAAGACCGAUGUGAAAUCCCCGGGCUCAACCUGGGAACUGCAUUGGUGACUGGCAGGCUAGAGUAUGGCAGAGGGGGGUUAGAAUUCCACGUGUAGCAGUGAAAUGCGUAGAGAUGUGGAGGAAUACCGAUGGCGAAGGCAGCCCCCUGGCCAAGUACUGACGCUCAUGCACGAAAGCGUGGGGAGC
Molecule: ribosomal RNA, 423 nt
Filed under: uncultured bacterium
Lineage: Bacteria
Description: partial 16S ribosomal RNA
Rfam family: Bacterial small subunit ribosomal RNA
Source: RNAcentral